UAGGGGGCGUAGCAAUACGUCACCGGCGGACGGGUGCGUAACACGUGGGAAUGUACUUAUUGGUUCGGAACAACUCAGGGAAACUUGAGCUAAUACCGGAUAAGCCCUUACGGGGAAAGAUUUAUCGCCGAAAGAUCGGCCCGCGUCUGAUUAGCUAGUUGGUGAGGUAACGGCUCACCAAGGCGACGAUCAGUAGCUGGUCUGAGAGGAUGAUCAGCCACAUUGGGACUGAGACACGGCCCAAACUCCUACGGGAGGCAGCAGUGGGGAAUAUUGGACAAUGGGGGCAACCCUGAUCCAGCCAUGCCGCGUGAGUGAUGAAGGCCCUAGGGUUGUAAAGCUCUUUUGUGCGGGAAGAUAAUGACGGUACCGCAAGAAUAAGCCCCGGCUAACUUCGUG
This 399-nucleotide ribosomal RNA is filed under the name uncultured bacterium. RNAcentral describes it as "bacterial SSU rRNA". It matches the Rfam family "Bacterial small subunit ribosomal RNA", at positions 64 to 507 of the family's 1533-position model. The record is from RNAcentral.